This 313-nucleotide long non-coding RNA is filed under the name Lathyrus oleraceus (garden pea). Its description in RNAcentral is "Pisum sativum (pea) long non-coding RNA (PSAT_LNC012555)". Lineage: Eukaryota; Viridiplantae; Streptophyta; Magnoliopsida; Fabales; Fabaceae. The record is from RNAcentral.
AAUAUUUGUAGUUCCUCUAAUGGUUGGAAAGAUGUUCAGUCUAGAUAGUUGAAAAAUAAGUUGGAAUAUGUUGUCAGAUGGAGAAGGAAAAUCCACACAUUGACAGAUUUAACUACACAGGUUAAAAUGAAAAAUCCACACAUUGACAGAUUUAACUCCACGGGUUAAAUGAAAAAUCCACACAUUCACAAAUUUAACUCCAUGGGUUAAAUUUUAGUAUGAAAGUAUAGAACCUAAAAUGAUGACAGGGAAAAAAUAGAAGGUAAAAGUAUAACAAAACUGACAACAAUAUAACAGUCCGCUAAUAUAAAAU